GGCUCAAAGUCCAGUCGGAACGAGGGAACCGUAGAGUUUCGGGUGAGUAACACGUGAGUAACCUGCCCUUGACUUCGGGAUAACUCCGGGAAACCGGGGCUAAUACCGGAUAUGAGCCGCCUUCGCAUGGGGGUGGUUGGAAAGUUUUUCGGUCAGGGAUGGGCUCGCGGCCUAUCAGCUUGUUGGUGGGGUGAUGGCCUACCAAGGCGACGACGGGUAGCCGGCCUGAGAGGGCGACCGGCCACACUGGGACUGAGACACGGCCCAGACUCCUACGGGAGGCAGCAGUGGGGAAUAUUGCACAAUGGGCGAAAGCCUGAUGCAGCGACGCCGCGUGAGGGAUGAAGGCCUUCGGGUUGUAAACCUCUUUCAGCAGGGAAGAAGCGCAAGUGACGGUACCUGCAGAAGAAGCGCCGGCUAACUACGUGCCAGCAGCCGCGGUAAUACGUAGGGCGCAAGCGUUGUCCGGAAUUAUUGGGCGUAAAGAGCUCGUAGGCGGUUUGUCGCGUCUGGUGUGAAAACUCGAGGCUCAACCUCGAGCUUGCAUCGGGUACGGGCAGACUAGAGUGCGGUAGGGGAGACUGGAAUUCCUGGUGUAGCGGUGGAAUGCGCAGAUAUCAGGAGGAACACCGAUGGCGAAGGCAGGUCUCUGGGCCGCAACUGACGCUGAGGAGCGAAAGCAUGGGGAGCGAACAGGAUUAGAUACCCUGGUAGUCCAUGCCGUAAACGUUGGGCACUAGGUGUGGGGCUCAUUCCACGAGUUCCGUGCCGCAGCAAACGCAUUAAGUGCCCCGCCUGGGGAGUACGGCCGCAAGGCUAAAACUCAAAGGAAUUGACGGGGGCCCGCACAAGCGGCGGAGCAUGCGGAUUAAUUCGAUGCAACGCGAAGAACCUUACCAAGGCUUGACAUGCACGGGAAGCCACCAAAGAUGGUGGUCUCUUUGGAACCUCGUGCCCAGGUGGUGCAUGGUUGUCGUCAGCUCGUGUCUUGAGAUGUUGGGUUAAGUCCCGCAACGAGCGCACCCUCGUCCCAUGUUGCC
RNAcentral lists this ribosomal RNA (1040 nucleotides) under Cellulosimicrobium funkei. RNAcentral's name for it is "bacterial SSU rRNA". It matches the Rfam family "Bacterial small subunit ribosomal RNA", at positions 67 to 1119 of the family's 1533-position model. The record is from RNAcentral. Lineage: Bacteria; Bacillati; Actinomycetota; Actinomycetes; Micrococcales; Promicromonosporaceae.